GCGAGAGUGGCGGAAUUGGUAGACNNGGAUUUAGGUUCCAGCGCCGCGAGGCGUGAGAGUUCGAGUCUCUCCUUUCGCACCA
Molecule: transfer RNA, 82 nt
Filed under: Methylotenera mobilis
Lineage: Bacteria; Pseudomonadati; Pseudomonadota; Betaproteobacteria; Nitrosomonadales; Methylophilaceae
Description: tRNA-Leu
Rfam family: tRNA
About the family: Transfer RNA (tRNA) molecules are approximately 80 nucleotides in length. Their secondary structure includes four short double-helical elements and three loops (D, anti-codon, and T loops).
Source: RNAcentral